RNAcentral lists this long non-coding RNA (783 nucleotides) under Urocitellus parryii (Arctic ground squirrel). RNAcentral's name for it is "lncRNA (ENSUPAG00010016107.1)". Lineage: Eukaryota; Metazoa; Chordata; Mammalia; Rodentia; Sciuridae. The record is from RNAcentral.
CUCCCCCGCCCCCGCCCCCCGCUCUGCCGCGGGCCCCCGCCCGCCGCGGGCCGAGAGCUCGGCGCGCUCGACCCCGGGUCCCGCCUCCCCGAGGUUUUCGCUUUCGCUUUCCCGCUGAUGUCGUUGGGGAAAAUUAAGCUGCCGAGGCCAGGCUGGCGCAGAAGCCGUUCCUGGCGAGGGGCGCAGAGCACGGCRGCGGCGGCGGCCGGCCUGGAACCCGGGUCCCGCUGCCCGCGCCGGGCGAGGCUGGGACCUCAAAGAGAUCCCAAGGAAGUGAGGCCCCUAAGCCAGACCUCUGUCCCUGGACUGCUUGGUGAGGGCCUGAUGGAUCUGGGAUUCCUGCAGAAGGUUCUGCUGGCAGAACAGAACGCGGGGGCUGGACAAAGCCUUUCACCCUCAAGUAAGUUAACCAGCUGGCCCUGGUUUGCCUAGGACUUCCUCACUUUUUGCAAUGCAAGUCCCAAAUCCUGGGAAACUCUCAUUCCUGAGCAGAUUGAGACAGUUGUUCACCUUAUCUGCAAGGCCUUUUGAACCUGCAAACCUGCUCUGGAUCACACCGCACCUUGCAUAGCUGGAUUCCUGGAUGCAAGGGAGACUUGGUAGCUGAGGAAGGACCCUGAGCCAGUGCCGGGACAUUCCCAUCAGAGUCGCAAGCUGUAUAGACUGUGCCUGUGUCAACAGCACAGAGCUCCUAGCCAUAGCAUGGGGGAGAGUAGAAAGUGCAUUUUCACCUGAGCCUCUAAAAAUAUAGCAACCUGGUCACUUCUGUGUGGUCUAUUACGG